Molecule: ribosomal RNA, 2234 nt
Filed under: Campylobacter coli
Lineage: Bacteria; Pseudomonadati; Campylobacterota; Epsilonproteobacteria; Campylobacterales; Campylobacteraceae
Description: partial 23S ribosomal RNA
Rfam family: Bacterial large subunit ribosomal RNA
Source: RNAcentral
AAAAAAGGUAAGCUACUAAGAGCGAAUGGUGGAUGCCUUGACUGGUAAAGGCGAUGAAGGACGUACUAGACUGCGAUAAGCUACGGGGAGCUGUCAAGAAGCUUUGAUCCGUAGAUUUCCGAAUGGGGCAACCCAAUGUAUAGAGAUAUACAUUACCUAUAUAGGAGCGAACGAGGGGAAUUGAAACAUCUUAGUACCCUCAGGAAAAGAAAUCAAUAGAGAUUGCGUCAGUAGCGGCGAGCGAAAGCGCAAGAGGGCAAACCCAGUGCUUGCACUGGGGGUUGUAGGACUGCAAUGUGCAAGAGGUGAGUUUAGCAGAACAUUCUGGAAAGUAUAGCCAUAGAGGGUGAUAGUCCCGUAUGCGAAAAACAAACCUUAGCUAGCAGUAUCCUGAGUAGGGCGGGACACGAGGAAUCCUGUCUGAAGCUGGGUCGACCACGAUCCAACCCUAAAUACUAAUACCAGAUCGAUAGUGCACAAGUACCGUGAGGGAAAGGUGAAAAGAACUGAGGUGAUCAGAGUGAAAUAGAACCUGAAACCAUUUGCUUACAAUCAUUCAGAGCCCUAUGUAGCAAUACAGGGUGAUGGACUGCCUUUUGCAUAAUGAGCCUGCGAGUUGUGGUGUCUGGCAAGGUUAAGCAAACGCGAAGCCGUAGCGAAAGCGAGUCUGAAUAGGGCGCUUAGUCAGAUGCUGCAGACCCGAAACGAAGUGAUCUAUCCAUGAGCAAGUUGAAGCUAGUGUAAGAACUAGUGGAGGACUGAACCCAUAGGCGUUGAAAAGCCCCGGGAUGACUUGUGGAUAGGGGUGAAAGGCCAAUCAAACUUCGUGAUAGCUGGUUCUCUCCGAAAUAUAUUUAGGUAUAGCGUUGUGUCGUAAUAUAAGGGGGUAGAGCACUGAAUGGGCUAGGGCAUACACCAAUGUACCAAACCCUAUCAAACUCCGAAUACCUUAUAUGUAAUCACAGCAGUCAGGCGGCGAGUGAUAAAAUCCGUCGUCAAGAGGGAAACAACCCAGACUACCAGCUAAGGUCCCUAAAUCUUACUUAAGUGGAAAACGAUGUGAAGUUACUUAAACAACCAGGAGGUUGGCUUAGAAGCAGCCAUCCUUUAAAGAAAGCGUAAUAGCUCACUGGUCUAGUGAUUUUGCGCGGAAAAUAUAACGGGGCUAAAGUAAGUACCGAAGCUGUAGACUUGCGCACAACUUAGAUUAUUUAAGUUUAGAAUAUGAGAAACUAAGUUAUAUGUUUAGUUAUAUUUUUACUGAUUUUUAUAGAGUAAAGAUAGAAAUAAAACUUAGUAAAAUCAGUAAAAAUAUUCUUAGACUAAAGUUAAGUAGUUUAAGUUGUGUGCAAGUGGUAGGAGAGCGUUCUAUUUGCGUCGAAGGUAUACCGGUAAGGAGUGCUGGAGCGAAUAGAAGUGAGCAUGCAGGCAUGAGUAGCGAUAAUUAAUGUGAGAAUCAUUAACGCCGUAAACCCAAGGUUUCCUACGCGAUGCUCGUCAUCGUAGGGUUAGUCGGGUCCUAAGUCGAGUCCGAAAGGGGUAGACGAUGGCAAAUUGGUUAAUAUUCCAAUACCAACAUUAGUGUGCGAUGGAAGGACGCUUAGGGCUAAGGGGGCUAGCGGAUGGAAGUGCUAGUCUAAGGUCGUAGGAGGUUAUACAGGCAAAUCCGUAUAACAAUACUCCGAGAACUGAAAGGCUUUUUGAAGUCUUCGGAUGGAUAGAAGAACCCCUGAUGCCGUCGAGCCAAGAAAAGUUUCUAAGUUUAGCUAAUGUUGCCCGUACCGUAAACCGACACAGGUGGGUGGGAUGAGUAUUCUAAGGCGCGUGGAAGAACUCUCUUUAAGGAACUCUGCAAAAUAGCACCGUAUCUUCGGUAUAAGGUGUGGUUCGCUUCGUAUUAGGAUUUACUCCGAAAGCGAAGAAACUUACAACAAAGAGUCCCUCCCGACUGUUUACCAAAAACACAGCACUCUGCUAACUCGUAAGAGGAUGUAUAGGGUGUGACGCCUGCCCGGUGCUCGAAGGUUAAUUGAUGGGGUUAGCAUUAGCGAAGCUCUUGAUCGAAGCCCGAGUAAACGGCGGCCGUAACUAUAACGGUCCUAAGGUAGCGAAAUUCCUUGUCGGUUAAAUACCGACCUGCAUGAAUGGCGUAACGAGAUGGGAGCUGUCUCAAAGAGGGAUCCAGUGAAAUUGUAGUGGAGGUGAAAAUUCCUCCUACCCGCGGCAAGACGGAA